GACGAACGCUGGCGGCGUGCUUAACACAUGCAAGUCGAACGGUGAAGCGCCUUUCUUUUUGGUGGGUGUGGAUGAGUGGCGAACGGGUGAGUAACACGUGAGUAACCUGCCCCCUUCUUCUGGAUAACCGCAUGAAAGUGUGGCUAAUACGGGAUAUUCUGAGUCUGUCGCAUGAUGGGUCUGGGAAAGAUAUUGUUUCGGUGGGGGAUGGGCUCGCGGCCUAUCAGCUUGUUGGUGGGGUGAUGGCCUACCAAGGCGGUGACGGGUAGCCGGCCUGAGAGGGUGGACGGUCACACUGGGACUGAGACACGGCCCAGACUCCUACGGGAGGCAGCAGUGGGGAAUAUUGCACAAUGGGCGCAAGCCUGAUGCAGCGACGCCGCGUGAGGGAUGGAGGCCUUCGGGUUGUGAACCUCUUUCGCCAGUGAAGCAGGCCUGCCUCGUUUGUGGGUGGGUUGACGGUAGCUGGAUAAGAAGCGCCGGCUAACUACGUG
Molecule: ribosomal RNA, 494 nt
Filed under: uncultured bacterium
Lineage: Bacteria
Description: partial 16S ribosomal RNA
Rfam family: Bacterial small subunit ribosomal RNA
Source: RNAcentral